CAUGCGUAUACAAGGCAUAGCCAUGACUCAUAAUUUUUAUCGAACUCCAUCUUUUUAGCAUGCUUAUGCAAAUUACAUUUUUGUACAAGAAUUAUGUCUUUAUCAGAUGGGGAUCACCACAAUGUAAAAUGUUACUCCCUCUGCCCCAUAAUGUAGUGCGUAUAGAUUUUCAGAAAAGUCAAACUAAGCAAACUUUGACCGAGUUUACACUAUUUUUAUAUAGAAUUCCAAACAUAUACAACAUGAAAAUAUAAUUGAUGAUGUAUCCAAUGAUAUGCAUUUGGUGUUUAAAUGUACAUAUUUUUGUCCAUAAACAUGGUCAAAGUUUGUAAUGUUUGACUUUUGAAAAAAUCUGUACGCACUACAUUAUGGAACGGCGGGAGUACCUUUUAUAGUUCUUUCCUUGUGGAUCUUCUGAUCACUUUAACUGAUAGAAUGUCAAACAUUUGUUCAGGUGUGAAGCAUUUCCAACUUACCCGAGAACAUAUGAUAUGGUACAUGCUGAUGGCUUUCUAUCACUUGAAAAGCGCCAAAAACGUAGAUGUUCUACUCUUGACAUAUUCUUGGAAGUUGAUCGCAUCCUAAGACCAGAGGGCUGGAUUAUAAUACGUGACACAGCCCCUCUUAUUGAAGCUGCAAGAUCUGUUGCUGCUCAGCUCAGAUGGGAUGCCCGUAUAUUGGAUCUUGACAUAGCUAGCGAUGAAAAACUGUUGGUCUGUCAGAAGCCCUUUCUGAAAAAAUAAUGAGCAUACCAGACACUGACACACGAUUCAGAAAUUGGAAUUAUUCUUUACCCCCAAAAUACUGUUACACGUAUUGUCCGAGAACAACUGGGAACAAAUUUCAGUUGAAACACUGGAGGAAUGGGUCAGCUAACUCGUCAUGAAUCAUCAUGGGUCGCAAGGUGCCAUGAGACUGAUCGGGCAAGUGCAUGCUGCAGAGGACGACAGGCUUGGUGGCUAAGCUUUCCAGGCCAAGGUUUUACUGCCAAGAGACGGUGAUGAAGGCGGCAAAGUUAAUUUUGUAGCAAAACCAUAUAUUUAAUAAAGGGAUGAUGCUGCGGCGUACAUAAUCGCGGCCAAUGUGUCACAUAGGUAUAAUUCCAUUUUUCUCCCUCUCCCUCAUUGCAUUCUCCUCCUCUGUAAUGGUGCUCAUUCAUUUUUGUAUCUUGUAUGUAAAAUUUGUUGGUAUCUAUACUGGCCACCCCCAGAUUACAAUAUUUGUGAAAUGAAGGUCAAUAUUUGAGGUGAA
Triticum urartu is the source of this 1251-nucleotide non-coding RNA. The record is from RefSeq and is a predicted model, not a curated record. Lineage: Eukaryota; Viridiplantae; Streptophyta; Magnoliopsida; Poales; Poaceae.